RNAcentral lists this ribosomal RNA (372 nucleotides) under uncultured Desulfobulbus sp. Its description in RNAcentral is "bacterial SSU rRNA". It matches the Rfam family "Bacterial small subunit ribosomal RNA", at positions 1014 to 1382 of the family's 1533-position model. Lineage: Bacteria; Pseudomonadati; Thermodesulfobacteriota; Desulfobulbia; Desulfobulbales; Desulfobulbaceae. The record is from RNAcentral.
CUUCCAUCUGGAAGAAUCUGGAGACAGGUGCUGCAUGGCUGUCGUCAGCUCGUGUCGUGAGAUGUUGGGUUAAGUCCCGCAACGAGCGCAACCCUUGCCUUUAGUUGCCAGCAGUUCGGCUGGGCACUCUAAAGGGACUGCCGGUGUUAAACCGGAGGAAGGUGGGGAUGACGUCAAGUCCUCAUGGCCUUAUGACCAGGGCUACACACGUACUACAAUGGCCGAUACAAAGGGCAGCGACAUUGCGAGGUGAAGCCAAUCCCGUAAAACUACGGUCUCAGUCCGGAUUGGAGUCUGCAACUCGACUCCAUGAAGUUGGAAUCGCUAGUAAUCGUGGAUCAGCAUGCCACGGUGAAUACGUUCCCGGGCCUU